RNAcentral lists this ribosomal RNA (440 nucleotides) under uncultured bacterium. Its description in RNAcentral is "partial 16S ribosomal RNA". It matches the Rfam family "Bacterial small subunit ribosomal RNA", at positions 339 to 795 of the family's 1533-position model. The record is from RNAcentral.
CUACGGGCCGCUGCAGUGGGGAAUCUUGCGCAAUGGGCGAAAGCCUGACGCAGCAACGCCGCGUGCGGGAAGAAGGCCCUUUGGGCUGUAAACCGCUUUCAGCAGGAACGAAAAUGACGGUACCUGCAGAAGAAGGAGCGGCCAACUAUGUGCCAGCAGCCGCGGUGAUACAUAGGCUUCGAGCGUUGUCCGGAUUUAUUGGGCGUAAAGAGUUCGUAGGCGGUUAAGUAAGUCGGGUGUGAAAAUUCUGGGCUCAACCCAGAAACGCCACCCGAUACUGCUUGACUUGAGUUCGACAGGGGAGUGGGGAAUUCCUAGUGUAGCGGUGAAAUGCGCAGAUAUUAGGAGGAACACCGGUGGCGAAGGCGCCACUCUGGGUCGACACUGACGCUGAGGAACGAAAGCAUGGGUAGCAAACAGGAUUAGAUACCCGCGUAGUC